This 435-nucleotide ribosomal RNA is filed under the name uncultured bacterium. RNAcentral describes it as "partial 16S ribosomal RNA". It matches the Rfam family "Bacterial small subunit ribosomal RNA", at positions 29 to 507 of the family's 1533-position model. The record is from RNAcentral.
AGCGAACGCUGGCGGCAGGCUUAACACAUGCAAGUCGAGCGGGCACUUUCGGGUGUCAGCGGCGGACGGGUGAGUAACGCGUGGGAACGUGCCCUCUGGUUCGGAAUAACUCAGGGAAACUUGAGCUAAUACCGGAUACGCCCUUUUGGGGAAAGGCUUGCUGCCGGAGGAUCGGCCCGCGUCUGAUUAGCUAGUUGGUGAGGUAACGGCUCACCAAGGCGACGAUCAGUAGCUGGUCUGAGAGGAUGAUCAGCCACACUGGGACUGAGACACGGCCCAGACUCCUACGGGAGGCAGCAGUGGGGAAUAUUGGACAAUGGGCGCAAGCCUGAUCCAGCCAUGCCGCGUGAGUGAUGAAGGCCUUAGGGUUGUAAAGCUCUUUUAUCCGGGACGAUAACGACGGCACCGGAGGAAUAAGCCCCGGCUAACUUCGUG